This 253-nucleotide ribosomal RNA is filed under the name uncultured bacterium. RNAcentral's name for it is "partial 16S ribosomal RNA". It matches the Rfam family "Bacterial small subunit ribosomal RNA", at positions 524 to 776 of the family's 1533-position model. The record is from RNAcentral.
UACGUAGGGGGCUAGCGUUGUCCGGAAUCAUUGGGCGUAAAGAGCGCGUAGGCUGCUCGGUAAGUCCGCUGUAAAAGUCAAAGGCUCAACCUUUGAAUGUCAGUGGAAACUGCCGGGCUAGAGUCCGGAAGAGGCGAGUGGAAUUCCUGGUGUAGCGGUGGAAUGCGCAGAUAUCAGGAGGAACACCGGUGGCGAAGGCGGUUCUCUGGGCAUUACCUGACGCUGAGGAGCGAAAGUGUGGGGAGCGAACAGG